UAAAAAACAACAAAUAAAACAGAAACGUAAAAGCUAUGUACUAAAUUAAUAACUGCAAUUUACAUUCUUGCACUUGUGCAACUUGUGUAACUGUCAAGAGUCAAGUCUUCCUCUCACCAUCAUUGCUUUGUUACAUUUUGAUAAGCUAUCGUGACAUACUUUUACUUGUGAGAGAUGAAUAAGUUGCAUUACAGUACUUUUAUCCCAUCAUUGCCUUGUUAAAUUUUGAUAGGCUAUCGUGACAUACUGUUACUUGUGGGACAUGAUUAAGUUGCAUUAUAGUACUUUUAUUCGAUCAUUUCUUUGUUACAUUUUGAUAGGCUAUCGUGACAUACUGUUACUUGUGAGAAAUGAAUAGGUUGCAUUUUAGUACUUUUAUCCCAUCAUUGCCUUGUUAAAUUUUGAUAGGCUAUCGUGACAUACUGUUACUUGUGGGACAUGAUUAAGUUGCAUUAUAGUACUUUUAUUCGAUCAUUUCUUUGUUACAUUUUGAUAGGCUAUCGUGACAUACUGUUACUUGUGAGAAAUGAAUAGGUUGCAUUAUAGUACUUUUAUCCCAUCAUUGCUUUGUUACAUUUGAAUAGGCUAUCGUGACAUACUGUUACUUGUGGGACAUGAUUAAGUUGCAUUAUAGUACUUUUAUCCCAUCAUUGCCUUGUAACAUUUUGAUAGGCUAUCGUGACAUACUGUUACUUGUGAGAAAUGAAUAGGUUGCAUUACAGUAAUUUUACCCCAUCAUUGCCUUGUUAAAUUUUGAUAGGCUAUCGUGACAUACUGUUACUUGUGAGAGAUGAAUAGGUUGCAUUAUAGUACUUUUAUC
This is a long non-coding RNA of Haliotis rubra (blacklip abalone), 820 nucleotides long. RefSeq lists it as uncharacterized. The record is from RefSeq and is a predicted model, not a curated record. The transcript has 2 exons. Lineage: Eukaryota; Metazoa; Mollusca; Gastropoda; Lepetellida; Haliotidae.